AUGGAGAAGAGCAGGGUUCUUGUUGUUGGUGGCACCGGCUACAUCGGCAGGAGGAUCGUGAAGGCAAGCCUAUCUCAGGGCCACGAGACCUACGUCCUGAUGAGGCCCGAGAUCGGGCUCGACGUCGAGAAGCUCCAGCUGCUGCUGUCGUUCAAGGCGCAGGGAGUGCGGCUCAUGGAGGCGUCGCUGGACGACCACCGGGGACUCGUCGCCGCCGUGAAGCAGGUAGACGUGGUGGUCUCGGCCAUGUCCGGGGUUCAUUUCCGUGGCCACGGGCUCCUGCUGCAGCUCAAGCUGGUGGAGGCUAUCAAAGAAGCUGGAAACGUCAAGCGUUUCCUACCAUCUGAAUUCGGCAUGGACCCAGCAAGGAUGGGGCAUGCCCUUGAACCAGGAAGGAUCACAUUUGAUGAGAAGAUGGAGAUAAGAAGGGCGAUAGAAGAAGCAAACAUUCCCCACACCUAUAUUUCUGCUAACUGCUUUGCAGCUUACUUUGGUGCUAACCUUGGUCAAAUGCGUACCCUACUUCCACCCAAAGAGAAAGUUUAUGUAUAUGGGGAUGGCAACAUCAAAGGGAUAUUCCUGGACGAAAAAGAUGUUGCAACAUACACAAUCAAGUCGAUUGAUGAUCCACGGGCCUUGAACAAGACAAUAUACCUAAGACCGACAGAAAACAUCCUUAGUCAAAAUGAGCUGAUUGCUAAAUGGGAAAACCUCUCAGGAAAGGUUCUUCAGAAAAUUCCCAUUCAGAGUGAUGAAUUCUUGGCGUCAAUGAUAGGUACGGACCUUACUAAUCAAGUUGGGGUAGGGCAUUUCUACCACAUUUUCUAUGAGGGUUGCUUGACAAACUUUGACAUCAAAGACAAUGAGGAAGAAGAAGCUUCUCUACUCUACCCAGAUGUUCAGUACACCAGGAUGGAUGAGUACAUGAAACGCUAUUUGUAA
RNAcentral lists this ribosomal RNA (942 nucleotides) under Triticum aestivum (bread wheat). Its description in RNAcentral is "partial small subunit ribosomal RNA". Lineage: Eukaryota; Viridiplantae; Streptophyta; Magnoliopsida; Poales; Poaceae. The record is from RNAcentral.